This 254-nucleotide ribosomal RNA is filed under the name uncultured bacterium. Its description in RNAcentral is "partial 16S ribosomal RNA". It matches the Rfam family "Bacterial small subunit ribosomal RNA", at positions 524 to 776 of the family's 1533-position model. The record is from RNAcentral.
UACGGAGGGAGCAAGCGUUGUUCGGAUUUACUGGGCGUAAAGGGCGCGUAGGCGGUCGUGACAAGUCAGUUGUGAAAUCUCCGGGCUUAACUCGGAAAGGUCAGCCGAUACUGCGGGGCUAGAGUGCAGAAGGGGCAACUGGAAUUCUCGGUGUAGCGGUGAAAUGCGUAGAUAUCGAGAGGAACACCUGCGGCGAAGGCGGGUUGCUGGGCUGAUACUGACGCUGAGGCGCGAAAGCCAGGGGAGCGAACGGG